This 413-nucleotide long non-coding RNA is filed under the name Pan troglodytes (chimpanzee). RNAcentral describes it as "long non-coding RNA NONPTRT012587". The record is from RNAcentral. Lineage: Eukaryota; Metazoa; Chordata; Mammalia; Primates; Hominidae.
CAUCUUGUACACUGCAGCCAGUGUUUUCUAAAACACAAAUCUGACUUUAUUAGUAUUUUUUUGCUAAAAAUUCUGUGCCAGUUUCCCUCUGCCCUUAAGAUGGAGUUUUUUUCUAAAAAUGAUCCCCACAGCUAAAUGUGUGCAUUUUAUGGUAUAUAAAUAACAUCUUGAUAAAGCUGUUAAAAUGUGAUAAGAAUAAACUGGCCUUUCAAAAUGCCACUUUUUCCCUUAGAACAAUCAUUACAAGGGAACUAACCACUAUUUUUUUUUUUUUGAGACGGAGUCUCGCUCUGUCACCCAGGCUGGAAUGCAAUGGCGCGAUCUCAGCUCACUGCAACCUCCGCCUCCCAGGUUCAAGCGAUUCUCCUGCCUCAGCCUCCUGAGUAGCUGGGAUUAUAGGUGCGCACUACCAU